UACGUAGGGGGCUAGCGUUGUCCGGAUUUAUUGGGCGUAAAGAGCGUGUAGGCGGCCAGAUAGGUCUGCUGUGAAAACUCGAGGCUCAACCUCGAGAUGUCGGCGGAAACCAUUUGGCUAGAGUCCGGAAGAGGAAAGUGGAAUUCCCGGUGUAGUGGUGAAAUGCGUAGAUAUCGGGAGGAACACCAGUGGCGAAGGCGACUACCUGGCCUGUUCUUGACGCUGAGGCGCGAAAGCUAGGGGAGCAAACGGG
This 253-nucleotide ribosomal RNA is filed under the name uncultured bacterium. RNAcentral's name for it is "partial 16S ribosomal RNA". It matches the Rfam family "Bacterial small subunit ribosomal RNA", at positions 524 to 776 of the family's 1533-position model. The record is from RNAcentral.